AAUAGAUACCCAGGUAGUCCACGCCGUAAACGAUGAGUGCUAAGUGUUAGAGGGUUUCCGCCCUUUAGUGCUGCAGCUAACGCAUUAAGCACUCCGCCUGGGGAGUACGGCCGCAAGGCUGAAACUCAAAGGAAUUGACGGGGGCCCGCACAAGCGGUGGAGCAUGUGGUUUAAUUCGAAGCAACGCGAAGAACCUUACCAGGUCUUGACAUCCUCUGACAACCCUAGAGAUAGGGCUUUCCCCUUCGGGGGACAGAGUGACAGGUGGUGCAUGGUUGUCGUCAGCUCGUGUCGUGAGAUGUUGGGUUAAGUCCCGCAACGAGCGCAACCCUUGAUCUUAGUUGCCAGCAUUCAGUUGGGCACUCUAAGGUGACUGCCGGUGACAAACCGGAGGAAGGUGGGGAUGACGUCAAAUCAUCAUGCCCCUUAUGACCUGGGCUACACACGUGCUACAAUGGAUGGUACAAAGGGCUGCAAACUGCGAAGGUAAGCGAAUCCCAUAAAGCCAUUCUCAGUUCGGAUUGC
RNAcentral lists this ribosomal RNA (525 nucleotides) under uncultured bacterium. RNAcentral describes it as "bacterial SSU rRNA". It matches the Rfam family "Bacterial small subunit ribosomal RNA", at positions 777 to 1301 of the family's 1533-position model. The record is from RNAcentral.